Long non-coding RNA from Dreissena polymorpha, 492 nucleotides. RefSeq lists it as uncharacterized. Lineage: Eukaryota; Metazoa; Mollusca; Bivalvia; Myida; Dreissenidae. The transcript is spliced from 2 exons. The record is from RefSeq and is a predicted model, not a curated record.
AGGUAUUUCCCCAGGCGGUUUUAGCACAGCGGGCCCGCGGUGCCUGAACUUCGAAAUCCAUUUCGCCGCGGCGCUUGAUUUUCUGAUCAUGUAGCGGCGACGCUUGUAAAUUUGUCAAGCCCUUUCAAGCUCUUAUCCGAAUGUUUUGAUAAGACGCAAUCACGAUUUACGGGUCGUGUAUAGGGGUCUGUCCACUUAUAAUGGUCAAAAAAGAUCCAUUAUAAACCGGUACACGUGGCGUAAGAGUAAUUAAAGUCUGCAAGAAGGCUUCAGCAGAAUGAAAAGAGUAAAAAACUGACAAUCGUGUUCGCCCGAAGUCUGCUGUCCACCAUACUCUGGUGAUGGUUCGCAUUGAAGGACCAGACAAUUAGGAAGUGGACUUCAGAAGAAUGACGGAUGCUUGGCUACUGGAUAAGCCUCGAAGAAUAGUUUUUGGAAGUUGAAAUUGUAUAUCUGUACACUUGUGGUAAAAUAUGCAACUGUAUUAGCGUU